RNAcentral lists this unclassified non-coding RNA (403 nucleotides) under Trichuris ovis. RNAcentral's name for it is "sequence contains ITS2". Lineage: Eukaryota; Metazoa; Nematoda; Enoplea; Trichinellida; Trichuridae. The record is from RNAcentral.
AUCGACACGCAAUUGCGCUCAGGCUGACGCUACCGUGGCUUUAGGUACGUGGAGCUACGCGUGGUGGCACGUUACGCCUCUAAGCGCUACGCUGCUGCUGGUGGCGGUCGCGUGCCGGUGGGUCAGCCGCAGCUGACCGGCAACCGCUACUAGCAGCGGAGAGCAGUCGGCUCGGCAGAGAACGUGGGCUUUCCGAGUUGGCAUUUUACCCUCCUAAUCGCGGCGCAGGCGACCAUCGAGAAACGGCUGCAAAGUCUUCGGCACACGGUCGACUUUCAGUCGCGGCAAGCGUUGAUUAAGGCAGUACGCACGGGCGUCCUGUCCUUGCCGGCUGCCGGUUUGGCUGCUGCUCGGUGGAAGCUAGGUGCGCUGGUCCGCGGAACGAGUGGUCGCUUCUGCUGUU